CAAGUCGAACGCGAAAGCCCCCGCAAGGGGUAAGUAGAGUGGCAAACGGGUGAGUAACACGUGGGUGACCUGCCUUCGAGUGGGGGAUAACGUCCCGAAAGGGACGCUAAUACCGCAUGACAUCCUGCUCUUGAAGAGCGGAGAUCAAAGCUGGGGAUCGCAAGACCUGGCGCUUGAAGAGGGGCCCGCGCCUGAUUAGCUAGUUGGUGGGGUAACGGCUCACCAAGGCUACGAUCAGUAUCCGGCCUGAGAGGGCGGACGGACACACUGGGACUGAGACACGGCCCAGACUCCUACGGGAGGCAGCAGUGGGGAAUUGUUCGCAAUGGGCGCAAGCCUGACGACGCAACGCCGCGUGGAGGACGAAGAUCUUCGGGUCGUAAACUCCUGUCGAGCGGGAAGAACACCUUCCUGGUGAACAACCGGGAGGGCUGACGGUACCGCUAAAGGAAGCCCCGGCUAACUCCGUGCCAGCAGCCGCGGUAAUACGGGGGGGGCAAGCGUUGUUCGGAAUUACUGGGCGUAAAGGGCUCGUAGGCGGCCAACUAAGUCCGACGUGAAAUCCCCAGGCUCAACCUGGGAACUGCGUCGGAUACUGGAUGGCUUGAAUUCGGGAGAGGGAUGCAGAAUUCCAGGUGUAGCGGUGAAAUGCGUAGAUAUCUGGAGGAAUACCGGUGGCGAAGGCGGCAUCCUGGACCGACAUGACGCUGAGGAGCGAAAGCUAGGGGAGCAAACG
RNAcentral lists this ribosomal RNA (736 nucleotides) under uncultured Acidobacteriota bacterium. RNAcentral describes it as "bacterial SSU rRNA". It matches the Rfam family "Bacterial small subunit ribosomal RNA", at positions 58 to 774 of the family's 1533-position model. The record is from RNAcentral. Lineage: Bacteria; Pseudomonadati; Acidobacteriota.